RNAcentral lists this ribosomal RNA (250 nucleotides) under uncultured prokaryote. RNAcentral describes it as "partial 16S ribosomal RNA". It matches the Rfam family "Bacterial small subunit ribosomal RNA", at positions 524 to 773 of the family's 1533-position model. The record is from RNAcentral.
UACGGAGGAUGCAAGCGUUAUCCGGAUUUACUUUGUGUAAAGGGAGCGCAGACGGUUGUGCAAGUCUGAAGUGAAACCCCACCGCUCAACGGUGGGCUUGCUUUGGAAACUGUAUAACUAGAGUACUGGAGAGGUAAGCGGAAUUCCUAGUGUAGCGGUGAAAUGCGUAGAUAUUAGGAGGAACAUCGGUGGCGAAGGCGGCUUACUGGACAGCAACUGACGUUGAGGCUCGAAGGCGUGGGGAGCAAAC